This 221-nucleotide unclassified non-coding RNA is filed under the name Hevea brasiliensis (rubber tree). The record is from RNAcentral. Lineage: Eukaryota; Viridiplantae; Streptophyta; Magnoliopsida; Malpighiales; Euphorbiaceae.
AGAGAGAGAGAGAGAGAGGUGGGUCUCUUGCAACCAGAAUCAGGUGGGUACUCAAUGGUUGAAGAAUCAGCUGACUUUAGUCGCUGUGGGAAGAGAAAAUAUAUAGGGAAAGAGAUGAGUCAGAAAAUGGGAUCGAACAGGAAAUUGGUAAAAGAUUUUUAUUUUAGGAGAAACCAAGAGCUCGCUGUGACUACAGCUCUUCGGUUGAUGGUGGAUCAAAG